GCCGGGCGUGGUGGCUCAUGCCUGUAAUCCAAGCACUUUGGAGGCCAAGGAGAGUGGAUCACUUGAGGUCGGGAGUUCAAGACCAGCCUGACCAACAUGGUGAAACCCCAUCUUAAAAAAAUAAUAAAAUAAAAAAAAAUAUGGGCAGUUCAGCUACCUGGGAGGCUGAGGUGGGAGGAUAGCUUGAGCCCAGGAGUUCUGGGCUGUAGUGCGCUGUGCUGAUCGGGUGUCCGCACUAAAUUCAGUAUCAAUGUGAUGACCUCCCAGAAGCGAAGGACCAACAGGUUGCCUAAGGAGGUCGGAAACGCAGUAGGUCAGAACUCCCGUGCUGAUCAGUAGAGGGAUGGUGCCCGUGAAUAGCCACAGCCUGGGCAAUAUAUCGAGACCCUGUCUCAA
This is an unclassified non-coding RNA of Callithrix jacchus (white-tufted-ear marmoset), 396 nucleotides long. It matches the Rfam family "Metazoan signal recognition particle RNA". From Rfam's summary of the family: The signal recognition particle (SRP) is a universally conserved ribonucleoprotein. It is involved in the co-translational targeting of proteins to membranes. The eukaryotic SRP consists of a 300-nucleotide 7S RNA and six proteins: SRPs 72, 68, 54, 19, 14, and 9. Lineage: Eukaryota; Metazoa; Chordata; Mammalia; Primates; Cebidae. The record is from Ensembl.